UACGGAGGGUGCGAGCGUUGUCCGGAAUCACUGGGCGUAAAGGGCGCGUAGGCGGCUCGAUAAGGCUGUGGUGAAAGCCCGGGGCUCAACCCCGGGUCGGCCGUGGCGACUGUUGGGCUGGAGCACUGUAGAGGCGGGCGGAAUUCCGGGUGUAGCGGUGGAAUGCGUAGAGAUCCGGAAGAACACCGAUGGCGAAGGCACUUUACUGGGCUAUUACUAACACUCAGAGACGAAGCUAGGGUAGCAAAUGGG
This 252-nucleotide ribosomal RNA is filed under the name uncultured bacterium. RNAcentral describes it as "partial 16S ribosomal RNA". It matches the Rfam family "Bacterial small subunit ribosomal RNA", at positions 524 to 776 of the family's 1533-position model. The record is from RNAcentral.